UAGUCCACGCCGUAAACGAUGCUCACUCGUUGUUUGCAAUAUAUCGUAAGCGACUGAGGGAAACCAUUAAGUGAGCCACCUGGGGAGUACGUUGGCAACAAUGAAACUCAAAGGAAUUGACGGGGGCCCGCACAAGCGGAGGAACAUGUGGUUUAAUUCGAUGAUACGCGAGGAACCUUACCUGGGCUUAAAUGUAGAGUGCAUUAGAUGGAAACAUUUAUUUUCUUCGGAACUCUUUACAGGGUGCUGCAUGGUUGUCGUCAGCUCGUGCCGUGAGGUGUCGGGUUAAGUCCCAUAACGAGCGCAACCCCUAUCGUUAGUUGCCAUCAGGUCAUGCUGGGGACUCUAACGNGACUGCCGGUGUAAACCGCGAGGAAGGUGGGGAUGACGUCAAAUCAGCACGGCCCUUAUGGGGCUGGGGCUACACACGUGCUACAAUGGGCGGUGACACGGGGAAGCGAAGGGGCACCGUGGAGCCAAUCCCCAAAAGCCGUCUCAGUUCGGGAUUGGCACUCUGC
Molecule: ribosomal RNA, 518 nt
Filed under: uncultured bacterium
Lineage: Bacteria
Description: bacterial SSU rRNA
Rfam family: Bacterial small subunit ribosomal RNA
Source: RNAcentral